RNAcentral lists this long non-coding RNA (399 nucleotides) under Vigna radiata. RNAcentral describes it as "long non-coding RNA (VRAD_LNC015833)". Lineage: Eukaryota; Viridiplantae; Streptophyta; Magnoliopsida; Fabales; Fabaceae. The record is from RNAcentral.
UUACAUAGGAGACACUUGGCCCUAGGGAUUAGACCCUACAGCCGUAACUUGCAAAAGGCUUGGAAGCUGCAACGUUUUUAAAAAAAUGGAGGAGGCAGGAACGUUACAGAAGGCUCUUCCUCUCGGCAUUUUGAGAAAUUGACUGCUGCAAUUGCAAUGUUAGAGGGAGUCUCGGCAUUUGGUGAUUAGAGAGGAGUCGAGACAGACUUUGUAUUGGGUUGGAACGGAUGAAGCACACGUGACGGUGCUGUUGGGCUAGCACAUGAUUUCAAUUUAUUGAUUUUCUCAUUGCUUUUUUUUUUGCUUCAUGCAUUUCGUUUUAUCGGAACUCCAGCACACGUUACUUUCCCCAAUUCUGCAAUGUUAUUUUAACUCUUUCAAUCAAUUUAUUCCCGGCCC